UGCUCCAUCCUCCCUCUUCUCCAGCCAGCCUGAGCUACACGUGUUCCGGUGGACACCCUAGCUGGGAAAAACAGAAAACACCGGACAUUUCACAUGAAGCACGUUUCUGGCAUUCGGAGUGGAAGCUGAGGCCAUGAGGACAUUGGUAAUUUUGGCUCUCACGUUCUCUUUGCAGCAGCAACAGCUCCAGCACUGCGGCGUUCAACAAAAGAACAAAGCCAUAUUGUUCAAAACAAACAUACUCCAGUAUCAGCUGGAAAAAACACACAAGUACACUCUCAGACCUCAAUCGCCAAACACAGCUGGACAAAGACUGAGUAAAAAGGCUCGAAACCACAACUGAGGAAGAAAACACCUUUAUCUCAUCUCUAAAGAACUCAAUCAAGUACAGUUUUAGAACUGUUCUUUUAAUACCCUUUUAAACACCUGAAAAUGGCACUUCUUUUCCUGCCGAUUUGUGGCCUUCCAUCUGAAAAACAUUGAUUUUCUCUCUCUGUGUAUUUUGAAUACAGCUAAGACGAUAUGGUUCAUUUUGUUGGCUUGUUUUAAUAUCUCCAGCAUUGAUUGUCACACAGUUCUGAAAAGCAAACUUGCUAGUGAACUGCUGCUGCAAAACCAUCAGGGAGAACAUAGGGUCACACAGUAUUGCUUUUAGGAGCAGUCACACAAAAUUUGUCCAGCCUGUGUCUGAAUUAUCUUCAACUGAAGGAUAGAAAAUAGAA
Molecule: non-coding RNA, 722 nt
Organism: Pelodiscus sinensis (Chinese soft-shelled turtle)
Lineage: Eukaryota; Metazoa; Chordata; Testudines; Trionychidae
Source: RefSeq, a predicted model, not a curated record